UACGGAGGAUCCAAGCGUCAUCCGGAUUUAUUGGGUUUAAAGGGUGCGUAGGUGGUUUUUUAAGUCAGGGGUGAAAGACGGCAGCUUAACUGUCGCAGUGCCUUUGAUACUGAAGAACUUGAAUAAACUAGAGGUAGGCGGAAUGUGACAAGUAGCGGUGAAAUGCAUAGAUAUGUCACAGAACACCGGUUGCGAAGGCAGGUUACUAUGGUGUUAUCGACGCUGAGGCACGAAAGCGUGGGGAUCAAACAGG
This 253-nucleotide ribosomal RNA is filed under the name uncultured bacterium. RNAcentral's name for it is "partial 16S ribosomal RNA". It matches the Rfam family "Bacterial small subunit ribosomal RNA", at positions 524 to 776 of the family's 1533-position model. The record is from RNAcentral.